GAUGAACGCUGGCGGCGUGCCUAAUACAUGCAAGUCGAGCGAACAGACGAGGAGCUUACUUUUCUGACGUUAGCGGCGGACGGGUGAGUAACACGUGGAUAACCUACCUAUAAGACUGGGAUAACUUCGGGAAACCGGAGCUAAUACCGGAUAAUAUUUUGAACCGCAUGGUUCAACAGUGAAAGACGGUCUUGCUGUCACUUAUAGAUGGAUCCGCGUCGCAUUAGCUAGUUGGUAAGGUAACGGCUUACCAAGGCAACGAUGCGUAGCCGACCUGAGAGGGUGAUCGGCCACACUGGAACUGAGACACGGUCCAGACUCCUACGGGAGGCAGCAGUAGGGAAUCUUCCGCAAUGGGCGAAAGCCUGACGGAGCAACGCCGCGUGAGUGAAGAAGGUCUUCGGAUCGUAAAACUCUGUUAUUAGGGAAGAACAAAUGUGUAAGUAACUAUGCACGUCUUGACGGUACCUAAUCAGAAAGCCACGGCUAACUACGUG
Molecule: ribosomal RNA, 497 nt
Filed under: uncultured bacterium
Lineage: Bacteria
Description: partial 16S ribosomal RNA
Rfam family: Bacterial small subunit ribosomal RNA
Source: RNAcentral